CGAACGCUGGCGGCGUGCUUAACACAUGCAAGUCGAACGGAAAGGCCCUGCUUUUGUGGGGUGCUCGAGUGGCGAACGGGUGAGUAACACGUGAGUAACCUGCCCUUGACUUUGGGAUAACUUCAGGAAACUGGGGCUAAUACCGGAUAGGAGCUCCUGCUGCAGGGUGGGGGUUGGAAAGUUUCGGCGGUUGGGGAUGGACUCGCGGCUUAUCAGCUUGUUGGUGGGGUAGUGGCUUACCAAGGCUUUGACGGGUAGCCGGCCUGAGAGGGUGACCGGCCACAUUGGGACUGAGAUACGGCCCAGACUCCUACGGGAGGCAGCAGUGGGGAAUAUUGCACAAUGGGCGGAAGCCUGAUGCAGCAACGCCGCGUGCGGGAUGACGGCCUUCGGGUUGUAAACCGCUUUCGCCUGUGACGAAGCGUGAGUGACGGUAAUGGGUAAAGAAGCACCGGCUAACUACGUG
Molecule: ribosomal RNA, 466 nt
Filed under: uncultured bacterium
Lineage: Bacteria
Description: partial 16S ribosomal RNA
Rfam family: Bacterial small subunit ribosomal RNA
Source: RNAcentral